This is a long non-coding RNA of Acinonyx jubatus (cheetah), 1569 nucleotides long. RefSeq lists it as uncharacterized. The transcript has 4 exons. The record is from RefSeq and is a predicted model, not a curated record. Lineage: Eukaryota; Metazoa; Chordata; Mammalia; Carnivora; Felidae.
UUCUAGUUGGCUUGGCCAGGAAGCUGCUCUUAGGGCCUCGGAGAGAGGAGAGCAAGGAGGAAGGCCAAGAGGAAGUCACAAAGAUCAGUUUAAAAAUAACCCUCCUCUCCAUGUCAGCCAUGAGGAGGAGCUUGGAGAGGAGCCAUGUUCUGAUGGUGGUGGCUCAGGGCAGCCUCAGAAAGACCCAAAAGCGAAUUGGCAGAGGCCCAUCUGGGAGCACACCCCGUGUCCUUAUCAGCUCUAGCAAGCCACCGCCAAAACCCCGUCUUCAAGAGACUUCCGCCCAGCCAGCAUCUGUUUCCUCUCCUAUAUUUAAACAACCAGGAACUACCAAAUGUCUUCCAAAGUGACUGUACCAUUUUGCAUUCCCACCAGCGAUGAAUGAGAGUUCCUGUUUCUCCACAUCCUUGCCAGCAUUUGGCGAUGUCAGUGCUUUGGAUUUGGGCCAUUCUACCAGAUCAAGGUGCCAGCAGAUUCAGCGUCUGUUGAAGACGGUCUUUUUGAUUUGCACAUGGCCUCCUUCUGUAUCCUCACGUGGCGGAGAGAGAUCGUCGUCUUCUGAUCAGAUCUUCUGAUCACACAUUGGAGAUUAGAGCUUCAACAUGUGACUCUGGUGGGCGGGAGGGAUCAACAUUAAUAGCAACAGGCUCCUCCAUACCUCUCCAGCUGAAUUGUCCAUCUCUUCCUGAAGAAGACCUACUUCAUAGGCCAGGAAUUUCAAACACGUAUUACCAUGCUCAUUUCUACUUCUUCUUUUUUUUUUUUAAUGUUGAUUCAUUUCUGAACGACAGAGAGACACAGAGCACAAGCAGGGGUAGGGUGGAGAGAGAGGGGGACACAGAAUCCGAAGCAGCCUCCAGGCUCCAGGCUCUGAGUGGUCAGCCCAGAGCCCAACACGGGACUUGAACUCACGAACUACAAGAUCACGACCUGAGCCGAAGUCGCUUAACCGACUGAGCCACCCAGGCGCCCUGCUCAUUUCUACUUCUGACAUGGGGUUCAUAUUUCCUCCACUUUGGAAUUUCUUCCCCAUUCCCUUUCCUCCUACUUAGUCUACUCAAAUCCAUUUCUCAAGACCUGUUUCAAGUCCAAAACCAGUGGGAAACAUCCCCAUUGAUCAUCCUUUCUGUGAACUUCUAUUGUAUUUAAGAAUCUGUACACAUAACAUAGAAUUUGAGUAUAUAUUAUUUUCUAAUACUGUUUUCUAGAGGUUCUAUAUGGGCAUGCAUUGCCUCCUCAUUCUGACUGUGAGCAGGAAGCUGGGCACAAAGCAGAAAUUGAGUGUGAUUGACCUCAGUGGUAAGUGCAUGUGCACUGAAGGCAGAAUCCCAGAUCAAAAUAUCUAUGUAUUGACUUUGUGACCUUGGGCAUAAUGCUUAACUUUUCUAUGCCUCAGUUUAUUCAUCUCUAAAAUGGGAAUAAUGAGGGGUGCCUGGGUGGCUCAGUCGGUUAAACAUUGACUCUUGAUCUCAGCUCAGGUCUUGAUCUCAGGGUGGUGAGUUCAGGCCCCAUGUUGGGCUCUGUGCUGGGUGUAAAGCCUACUUUUAAAUAUAUAUAUAUAUAUAUAUA